RNAcentral lists this ribosomal RNA (454 nucleotides) under uncultured Desulfovibrio sp. Its description in RNAcentral is "bacterial SSU rRNA". It matches the Rfam family "Bacterial small subunit ribosomal RNA", at positions 936 to 1382 of the family's 1533-position model. Lineage: Bacteria; Pseudomonadati; Thermodesulfobacteriota; Desulfovibrionia; Desulfovibrionales; Desulfovibrionaceae. The record is from RNAcentral.
GCUAUGUUGGUUUAAUUCGACGACUACGCGAAGAACCUUUACCUGGGCUUGACAUGUAAGUGUAAGAACCCGAAAGGGGAUGACUUGGGGGAAACUCCUUGAGCUUACACAGGUGCUGCAUGGCUGUCGUCAGCUCGUGCCGUGAGGUGUUGGGUUAAGUCCCGCAACGAGCGCAACCCUCGCCUUUAGUUGCCAGCAUUCAGUUGGGCACUCUAGAGGGACUGCCGGUGUCAAACCGGAGGAAGGUGGGAUGACGUCAAGUCCUCAUGGCCUUUAUGUCUAGGGCUACACACGUACUACAAUGGCCGGUACAAAGGGCAGCCACUCAGCGAUGAGGCGCUAAUCCCAUAAAGCCGGUCUCAGUCCGGAUCGCAGUCUGCAACUCGACUGCGUGAAGUUGGAAUCGCUAGUAAUCGUAGAUCAGCAUGCUACGGUGAAUACGUUCCCGGGCCUU